Molecule: ribosomal RNA, 321 nt
Filed under: uncultured Pseudomonadota bacterium
Lineage: Bacteria; Pseudomonadati; Pseudomonadota
Description: bacterial SSU rRNA
Rfam family: Bacterial small subunit ribosomal RNA
Source: RNAcentral
AUUGAACGCUGGCGGCAUGCCUUACACAUGCAAGUCGAACGGCAGCACGGGGGCAACCCUGGUGGCGAGUGGCGAACGGGUGAGUACUGCAUCGGAAUGUACCCAGUAGUGGGGGAUAACUAGUCGAAAGACUAGCUAAUACCGCAUACGCACUGAGGUGGAAAGCGGGGGAUCGCAAGACCUCGCGCUAUUGGAGCAGCCGAUGCCCGAUUAGGUAGUUGGUGGGGUAAAAGCCUACCAAGCCGACGAUCGGUAACUGGUCUGAGAGGACGACCAGUCACACUGGGACUGAGACACGGCCCAGACUCCUACGGGAGGCAG